Molecule: ribosomal RNA, 443 nt
Filed under: uncultured bacterium
Lineage: Bacteria
Description: partial 16S ribosomal RNA
Rfam family: Bacterial small subunit ribosomal RNA
Source: RNAcentral
CCUACGGGGGGCAGCAGUGGGGAAUAUUGGGCAAUGGGCGCAAGCCUGACCCAGCAACGCCGCGUGAAGGAAGAAGGCUUUCGGGUUGUAAACUUCUUUUCGCAGGGACGAAGAAAGUGACGGUAACGGAGGAAUAAGCCACGGCUAACUACGUGCCAGCAGCCGCGGUAAUCCGUAGGUGGCAAGCGUUAUCCGGAUUUAUUGGGUGUAAAGGGCGUGUAGGCGGGAGUGCAAGUCAGAUGUGAAAACUCCGGGCUCAACCCGGAGCCUGCCUUUGAAACUGUGUUUCUUGAGUGCUGGAGAGGCUAUCGGAAUUCCGUGUGUAGCGGUGAAAUGCGUAGAUAUCCGGAGGAACACCAGUGGCGAAGGCGGCUUGCUGGACAGUAACUGACGCUGAGGCGCGAAAGCGUGGGUAGCAAACAGGAUUAGAUACCCGAGUAGUC